This 242-nucleotide ribosomal RNA is filed under the name uncultured bacterium. RNAcentral describes it as "partial 16S ribosomal RNA". It matches the Rfam family "Bacterial small subunit ribosomal RNA", at positions 333 to 567 of the family's 1533-position model. The record is from RNAcentral.
CGAAACCUACGGGAGGCAGCAGUAGGGAAUCUUCCACAAUGGGCGCAAGCCUGAUGGAGCAACGCCGCGUGAGUGAAGAAGGGUUUCGGCUCGUAAAGCUCUGUUGUUGGAGAAGAACGUGCGUGAGAGUAACUGUUCACGCAGUGACGGUAUCCAACCAGAAAGUCACGGCUAACUACGUGCCAACAGCCGCGGUAAUACGUAGGGGGCAAGCGUUAUCCGGAUUUAUUGGGCGUAAAGCG